Molecule: ribosomal RNA, 451 nt
Filed under: uncultured bacterium
Lineage: Bacteria
Description: partial 16S ribosomal RNA
Rfam family: Bacterial small subunit ribosomal RNA
Source: RNAcentral
GUGGGGAAUAUUGGACAAUGGGGGGAACCCUGAUCCAGCCAUGCCGCGUGUGUGAAGAAGGCCUUUUGGUUGUAAAGCACUUUAAGCGAGGAGGAGGCUACCGAGAUUAAUACUCUUGGAUAGUGGACGUUACUCGCAGAAUAAGCACCGGCUAACUCUGUGCCAGCAGCCGCGGUAAUACAGAGGGUGCAAGCGUUAAUCGGAUUUACUGGGCGUAAAGCGCGCGUAGGUGGCCAAUUAAGUCAAAUGUGAAAUCCCCGAGCUUAACUUGGGAAUUGCAUUCGAUACUGGUUGGCUAGAGUAUGGGAGAGGAUGGUAGAAUUCCAGGUGUAGCGGUGAAAUGCGUAGAGAUCUGGAGGAAUACCGAUGGCGAAGGCAGCCAUCUGGCCUAUUACUGACACUGAGGUGCGAAAGCAUGGGGAGCAAACAGGAUUAGAUACCCUAGUAGUCC